This 365-nucleotide long non-coding RNA is filed under the name Mytilus galloprovincialis (Mediterranean mussel). The record is from RNAcentral. Lineage: Eukaryota; Metazoa; Mollusca; Bivalvia; Mytilida; Mytilidae.
UUUUUGGUCGUAUAUUGGUAUCAUGUUGGCGUCGUCGUCGUCGUCGUCCGAAUACUUUUAGUUUUCGCACUCUAACUUUAGUAAAAGUGAAUAGAAAUCUAUGAAAUUUUAACACAAGGUUUAUGACCACAAAAGGAAGGUUGGGAUUGAUUUUGGGAGUUUUGGUCCCAACAUUUUAGGAACUAGGGGCCAAAAAGGGCCCAAAUAAGCAUUUUCUUGGUUUUCGCACUAUAACUUUAGUUUAAGUAAAUAGAAAUCUAUGAAAUUUUGACACAAGGUUUAUGACCACAAAAGGAAGGUUGGGAUUGAUUUUUGGAGUUUUAGUUCCAACAGUUUAGGAAUUAAGGGCAAAAAAAAGGGCCAAA